GCGGGGUUGGUGUAGUUGGUCAUCACGUCAGUCUAACAGAGCAUUCUGGAGCAAUUCGGAGUGUCUGAAGAGCACUGAAGGUCGCGAGUUCAAGUCUCGCAUCCCGUA
Non-coding RNA from Phyllosticta citrichinensis, 108 nucleotides. Lineage: Eukaryota; Fungi; Ascomycota; Dothideomycetes; Botryosphaeriales; Phyllostictaceae. The record is from the annotation of a GenBank genome assembly.